UACGAAGGGGGCUAGCGUUGCCCGGAAUCACUGGGCGUAAAGGGUGCGUAGGCGGGUCUUUAAGUCAGGGGUGAAAUCCUGGAGCUCAACUUCAGAACUGCCUUUGAUACUGAAGAUCUUGAGUUCGGGAGAGGUGAGUGGAACUGCGAGUGUAGAGGUGAAAUUCGUAGAUAUUCGCAAGAACACCAGUGGCGAAGGCGGCUCACUGGCCCGAUACUGACGCUGAGGUGCGAAAGCGUGGGGAGCAAACAGG
RNAcentral lists this ribosomal RNA (253 nucleotides) under uncultured bacterium. RNAcentral describes it as "partial 16S ribosomal RNA". It matches the Rfam family "Bacterial small subunit ribosomal RNA", at positions 524 to 776 of the family's 1533-position model. The record is from RNAcentral.